CAGUAGCCGCGGUAAUACGGAGGGUGCAAGCGUUAAUCGGAAUUACUGGGCGUAAAGCGUGCGUAGGUGGUGGUUUAAGUCCGUUGUGAAAGCCCUGGGCUCAACCUGGGAAUUGCAGUGGAUACUGGGUCACUAGAGUGUGGUAGAGGAUAGUGGAAUUUCCGGUGUAGCAGUGAAAUGCGUAGAGAUCGGAAGGAACAUCUGUGGCGAAGGCGACUAUCUGGGCCAACACUGACACUGAGGCACGAAAGCGUGGGGAGCAAACAGGAUUAGAGACCCCCGUAGUCCCUGUCUCUUAUAC
RNAcentral lists this ribosomal RNA (301 nucleotides) under uncultured bacterium. RNAcentral describes it as "partial 16S ribosomal RNA". It matches the Rfam family "Bacterial small subunit ribosomal RNA", at positions 509 to 807 of the family's 1533-position model. The record is from RNAcentral.